AAUAAAAAUAGAAGCAGAGGCAUACAAUUAAACCGCCACUGAACCUGGGAAACGAACAUCUCCAAUGGCUCGCGUCGCCUCAAACCCUCUUUCUCUGCCCAGAUUUAGGCCAUACUUUCAAGUUUCAGACUCAACCCACCACCUCUUCAAAUCUCCUUCUCUUUCCCAGAACAGAAUUCGCAAGUUUCAAACCAUUGCCUGUCAAACAAAUCCGAUCCCCGCCGAAACAGAAUCCUCCGAUAAGGAAAAGGUACUUGUGGAGCUUGAUUCAGUCAAAGAUAGCACUAGCGAAGCUACAACUUCCUCUGAUGGAGGCGGCUCUUCUGAAUUUCCAAACAAAAAUUUUAGUAGGCGAAUAGCAGUUGGUUCUACCCUUGCUGCAGUGGGACUUUUCCUGUCAUCACGAUUGGACUUUGGUGUUUCUUUGAAGGACUUAUCUGCUGAAGCAGUGCCUUUUGAAGAGGCUCUUUCAAAUGGAAAGCCAACUGUUGUAGAGUUCUACGCAGAUUGGUGUGAAGUAUGCCGGGAAUUAGCUCCUGAUAUUUAUAAAGUAGAGCAGCAGUACAGGGAUCGUGUGAAUUUCGUUAUGCUGAAUGUCGACAACACGAAGUGGGAACAAGAACUCGAUGAGUUUGGUGUCGAGGGUAUUCCGCACUUUGCGUUCCUGGACAAAGAGGGGAACGAGGAAGGAAACGUCGUAGGCAAGCUUCCGAGGAAGUACUUCCUCGAGAACGUGGAGGCUCUUGCCAGGGGCGAGGCAUCGGUUCCUCAUUAUCGCGAGGUGGGACAGUAUUCGAGUGCCGAAUCAAGGAGGGUGCACGGGGUUGUUGAUCCCAGAAGUCAUGUGUAGAAUGAUGUUAUCUUCUUUUGAGAAGUAACCCCAUUAAUUCUUCCCCCAAGUAUAAAUACACAUACAAAGGGUUUGUUUUAGCAUUUUGUGAAUGGUGGAAACAGUUACCAGUAUUACUUUGAUGGUCUCCCUUUGCAAAUCAGCGGCCUAUGCCUCCGCAUUUGGUUCUUGCAGAGAAGGCUGGUUUUAUAGCUGUCUCGGCCUUGAUCCAUAAACAAACAACACCAAAAGGUUAUUUGAAACUCUACACUAUUAAAUAUUCCUUCUUUUUUAUAUUUUCUUUGGAUUUGUAUUAAAAAAAAGUUUGGGGGAAGAAUGUUGGUUUACAAGCAGAAGAAGAAUCAGGGUCCCAAGGGCAACAGGCUCUUGGUAAGCAUCAUUGUUCAUGGAAGUGCAGGACCCAUCCGGUUUGUUGUUAACGAGUAAGAGCUUGUUGCCGGCGUCAAUGAUACUGCUUUGAAAGCAUAUGCUCGUGAGUGUGGGCUUCCUGAUUUUGGAUCUGAUAUCAACUGUUUCUUCCUUUAUUGCCCUGGUGCUCGAUCCGAUGCACUGAGUCCGUGGGAGACGAUUGGAUCACAAGGGGCGAGAAAUUUCGUGAUGUGCAAUAAACCAAUGAGUGAGGGUCUGGAAGAUGUUGAGAGGUCUACUAGGAAUUGGAAGGCAUGGAUUCAUAAGUCCUUCAGUAUUAAGAUCUUUUCCCUUUAAAAUCUAUUUUAUGGCCUUUGUUUAUUCAUAAGUAAUCUUGGAUGACCGUGGUUGCAUGUUUUCACGGCUUUUCGACCUAAAUGUCAUCCUUUUUUUUAUAAUAUUCCCGAUGUAACUCCGUUUUUC
This is an RNA transcript of Hibiscus syriacus, 1681 nucleotides long. It is a transcript of the gene named thioredoxin-like protein HCF164, chloroplastic, with no coding region annotated. The record is from RefSeq and is a predicted model, not a curated record. The transcript is spliced from 6 exons. Lineage: Eukaryota; Viridiplantae; Streptophyta; Magnoliopsida; Malvales; Malvaceae.